Molecule: ribosomal RNA, 497 nt
Filed under: uncultured bacterium
Lineage: Bacteria
Description: partial 16S ribosomal RNA
Rfam family: Bacterial small subunit ribosomal RNA
Source: RNAcentral
GAUGAACGCUGGCGGCGUGCCUAAUACAUGCAAGUCGAGCGAACAGACGAGGAGCUUGCUCCUCUGACGUUAGCGGCGGACGGGUGAGUAACACGUGGAUAACCUACCUAUAAGACUGGGAUAACUUCGGGAAACCGGAGCUAAUACCGGAUAAUAUAUUGAACCGCAUGGUUCAAUAGUGAAAGACGGUUUUGCUGUCACUUAUAGAUGGAUCCGCGCCGCAUUAGCUAGUUGGUAAGGUAACGGCUUACCAAGGCGACGAUGCGUAGCCGACCUGAGAGGGUGAUCGGCCACACUGGAACUGAGACACGGUCCAGACUCCUACGGGAGGCAGCAGUAGGGAAUCUUCCGCAAUGGGCGAAAGCCUGACGCAGCCACGCCGCGUGAGUGAUGAAGGUCUUCGGAUCGUAAAACUCUGUUAUUAGGGAAGAACAAAUGUGUAAGUAACUAUGCACGUCUUGACGGUACCUAAUCAGAAAGCCACGGCUAACUACGUG